GGGGGUGUAGCUCAGUGGUACAGCACUUGCCUAGCAUGCAUGAGGUCCUGGGCUCAAUUGCCAGCAUCACUA
This is a non-coding RNA of Heterocephalus glaber (naked mole-rat), 72 nucleotides long. The record is from Rfam. NCBI's taxonomy places the organism in Eukaryota, Metazoa, Chordata, Mammalia, Rodentia, Bathyergidae.